RNAcentral lists this ribosomal RNA (429 nucleotides) under Actinomycetes bacterium. RNAcentral describes it as "Actinobacteria bacterium partial 16S ribosomal RNA". It matches the Rfam family "Bacterial small subunit ribosomal RNA", at positions 355 to 776 of the family's 1533-position model. The record is from RNAcentral. Lineage: Bacteria; Bacillati; Actinomycetota; Actinomycetes.
UAGGGAAUCUUCCGCAAUGGGCGAAAGCUUGACGGAGCAACGCCGCGUGAGUGAUGAAGGUCUUCGGAUCGUAAAACUCUGUUAUUAGGGAAGAACAAAUGUGUAAGUAACUAUGCUCGUCUUGACGGUACCUAAUCAGAAAGCCACGGCUAACUACGUGCCAGCAGCCGCGGUAAUACGUAGGUGGCAAGCGUUAUCCGGAAUUAUUGGGCGUAAAGCGCGCGUAGGCGGUUUUUUAAGUCUGAUGUGAAAGCCCACGGCUCAACCGUGGAGGGUCAUUGGAAACUGGAAAACUUGAGUGCAGAAGAGGAAAGUGGAAUUCCAUGUGUAGCGGUGAAAUGCGCAGAGAUAUGGAGGAACACCAGUGGCGAAGGCGACUUUCUGGUCUGUAACUGACGCUGAUGUGCGAAAGCGUGGGGAUCAAACAGG